AUUCAACCAUUUCCGGGCUGUGUUCCUAAGGAUUAGCUAUGGGACCUCAUGCCAAGGCGAAGCGGCCUAAGGGUUUAAAUGGAAACGUUUAGACCUUCCUUAAUGGAAAGGAAGAAAAUUUCAUACCCA
This 129-nucleotide non-coding RNA is filed under the name Desulforamulus putei. RNAcentral describes it as "Desulfotomaculum putei MoCo sequence". It matches the Rfam family "Molybdenum/Tungsten riboswitch aptamer (Moco RNA motif)". The record is from RNAcentral. Lineage: Bacteria; Bacillati; Bacillota; Clostridia; Eubacteriales; Peptococcaceae.